Cyprinus carpio carpio is the source of this 1117-nucleotide long non-coding RNA. The record is from Ensembl. NCBI's taxonomy places the organism in Eukaryota, Metazoa, Chordata, Actinopteri, Cypriniformes, Cyprinidae.
AAUUGAAUUGUGAAAUCAAAAUUGUGAAUCGCAUCAUGAGUUGAGUGAACCGUUACAUCCCUAGUGUCUUGAAAAGUAGUUUGACCAACUAGCAGUUGCCAAGAGGAAAUCAGUCUUACUUUUCCAAUACAAAUAAGACCACUCUACCUUUUCAUAACAAAUUAAAAAGUUAUGACCAGUCUUGAAGAAAAAAAAUUUGAUGACUAACUUUUUAAGACUAGUCUAAACAGUUUAUGUGUGUGAGCGUGUGGUGAGGAGCGUGUAUUGUGUGUGUGUGGUGAGGAGCGUGUAUUGUGUGUGUGAGCGUGGGGUGAGGAGCGUGUAUUGUGUGUGUGAGCGUGUGGUGAGGAGCCUGUAUUGUGUGUGUGAGCGUGUGGUGAGGAGCGUGUAUUGUGUGUGUGUGCGUGUGGUAAGGAGCCUGUAUUGUGUGUGUGAGCGUGUGGUGUGGAGCGUGUAUUGUGUGUGUGAGCGUGUGGUGAGGAGCGUGUAUUGUGUGUGUGAGCGUGUGGUGUGGAGCGUGUAUUGUGUGUGUGAGUGUGUGGUGAGGAGCGUGUAUUGUGUGUGUGAGCGUGUGGUGAGGAGCGUGUAUUGUGUGUGUGAGCGUGUGGUGAGGAGCCUGUAUUGUGUGUGUGAGCGUGUGGUGAGGAGCCUGUAUUGUGUGUGUGAGCGUGUGGUGAGGAGCGUGUAUUGUGUGUGUGAGCGUGUGGUGAGGAGCGUGUAUUGUGUGUGUGAGCGUGUGGUAAGGAGCCUGUAUUGUGUGUGUGAGCGAGCGUGUAUUGUGUGUGUGAGCGUGUGGUGAGGAGCGUGUAUUGUGUGUGUGAGCGUGUGGUGUGGAGCGUGUAUUGUGUGUGUGAGAGUGUGGUGAGGAGCGUGUAUUGUGUGUGUGAGCGUGUGGUGAGGAGCGUGUAUUGUGUGUGUGAGCGUGUGGUGAGGAGCGUAUAUUGUGUGUGGCGUACAUGUUUGAGAAGGGCCAGGAUGUAGAGCGGGAGCAGACGCAGGCAGGCGGGGGUCAGCAGGCCGGGCUGAGGGACGGUCAGCACAGAGGAGCGGUAGGAUGCCAGCGAGUCGAUUGCAGCGUUGAUCAGAGCGUCACGAGCAUCACUCAGACUCGCCGACA